AGCGAACGCUGGCGGCAGGCUUAACACAUGCAAGUCGAGCGGGCAUCCUUGUGGUGUCAGCGGCAGACGGGUGAGUAACGUGUGGGAACGUGCCCUUAGGUUCGGAAUAACCCAGGGAAACUCGAGCUAAUACCGGAUACUUGCGAGAGCAGACACGUUUAUCUGCCGAAGGAUCGGCGCGCGUCUGCUUAGCUAGUUGGUGAGGUUACGGCUCACCUAGGUGAGGAGCAGUAGCUGGUCGGAGAGGAGGACCAGCCACACUGGAACUAAGACACAGCCCAGACCCCGAGGCAGCGGAGCAGAGGAGAGUAUUAGGGGAUGGAGGCAAACGCAGCGCAGCCGUGCCGGGUGUGUGGUGACGGCGUUAGGGAUGUAAAGCCCGUAGCGCCGGGACGAAAAUGACGGUACCUGAAGAAGAAGCCCCGGCUAACUUCGUG
RNAcentral lists this ribosomal RNA (437 nucleotides) under uncultured bacterium. RNAcentral describes it as "partial 16S ribosomal RNA". It matches the Rfam family "Bacterial small subunit ribosomal RNA", at positions 30 to 507 of the family's 1533-position model. The record is from RNAcentral.